AUGUGUAAAGUCAUCCGUGAUAAUCUCAAAGCCGCGCAAUCGCGCCAGAAGAGUUACUAUGAUAGUAAGCACCGUGAUUUGGCUUUCGAGAUCGGAGACCAUGUCUACCUCCGCGUCUCUCCAAUGAAAGGCACUCGUCGCUUCGGUAUCAAAGGGAAGCUUGCCCCUAGGUACGUGGGUCCUUUCAAGAUCAUUGGCAAAAGAGGCGACCUCGCCUAUCAACUUGAGCUUCCUUCCAACUUCGCGAACGUGCACGAUGUGUUCCACAUGUCACAGCUCCGCAAGUGCUUCAAGACGCCUGAGCGCACUAUGAACUUCGAAGAGAUUGACCUCCAAGAAGAUUUGUCUUAUCAUGAGCACCCCAUUGCUAUUCUUGAAGAAGCUGAGCGCAAGACUCGCAACAAGUCAAAUUCCUGA
This 417-nucleotide ribosomal RNA is filed under the name Triticum aestivum (bread wheat). RNAcentral describes it as "partial small subunit ribosomal RNA". Lineage: Eukaryota; Viridiplantae; Streptophyta; Magnoliopsida; Poales; Poaceae. The record is from RNAcentral.